RNAcentral lists this ribosomal RNA (484 nucleotides) under uncultured bacterium. RNAcentral's name for it is "partial 16S ribosomal RNA". It matches the Rfam family "Bacterial small subunit ribosomal RNA", at positions 29 to 507 of the family's 1533-position model. The record is from RNAcentral.
AUUGAACGCUGGCGGCAUGCUUUACACAUGCAAGUCGAACGGCAGCGCGGGCUUCGGCCUGGCGGCGAGUGGCGAACGGGUGAGUAAUGCAUCGGAACGUGCCCAGUAGUGGGGGAUAGCCCGGCGAAAGCCGGAUUAAUACCGCAUACGACCUGAGGGUGAAAGCGGGGGACCGAAAGGCCUCGCGCUAUUGGAUCGGCCGAUGUCGGAUUAGCUAGUUGGUGGGGUAAAGGCUUACCAAGGCGACGAUCCGUAGCUGGUCUGAGAGGACGACCAGCCACACUGGAACUGAGACACGGCCCAGACUCCUACGGGAGGCAGCAGUGGGGAAUUUUGGACAAUGGGGGCAAGCCUGAUCCAGCCAUGCCGCGUGCGGGAAGAAGGCCUUCGGGUUGUAAACCGCUUUUGUUCGGGAAGAAAUGCUCUGGGCUAAUACCCCGGGGGGAUGACGGUACCGGAAGAAUAAGCACCGGCUAACUACGUG